GUAGGUGAACCUGCGGAGGGAUCAUUACACAAGUAUGCAAGCCCAGGACUACCGCCCCCCCCCUACUUGAGCGGUAGCCGCUAGGGGAGGGUGGUGGCCUGGGAUCCAUCUUCACCCAUGUCUUUUUGCGUACUACCUGUUUCCUUGGCGAGCUCGCUCGCCAAUUGGACCACCAAUUAAACCUUUUUGUAAUUGCAAUCAGCGUCAGAUAACACAAAUGUAAUAAAUUACAACUUUCAACAACGGAUCUCUUGGUUCUG
RNAcentral lists this unclassified non-coding RNA (260 nucleotides) under rhizosphere metagenome. RNAcentral's name for it is "partial ribosomal RNA internal transcribed spacer region". The record is from RNAcentral.